Nematostella vectensis (starlet sea anemone) is the source of this 1371-nucleotide long non-coding RNA. RefSeq lists it as uncharacterized. NCBI's taxonomy places the organism in Eukaryota, Metazoa, Cnidaria, Anthozoa, Actiniaria, Edwardsiidae. The record is from RefSeq and is a predicted model, not a curated record. The transcript is spliced from 2 exons.
CCGACCAACAGCCGAUUUCGAACUCGUCUGUGCAGGCUGCGGGGUUUGAAGGUGAAACGCAGAAAAUACAGGAGAGGCAAGCAACUAGAGAGAAAAAUAUAAUCCUGUAGAAUGAGGGUGCGACGAAAUGAAAAGAAAUGGAGGCCAUAUAAGGGUAAGGAAGCCAAAUGAAGGCCAUACAAGGGUAAGGAAGCCGUGGUCUGGCGUUAAAAGACAGAGUGCAGAAUGCAGAGCGAAAAUAUAAGAAUUCAGCUGAACUUCAUUUCAGGAUUUGGCAGUAGCAGUGGGAUUCUCCUCUAAAGAUAAAUGCAAAAACCUGUUGCUUGUUCGAUCCCGAACUAUACUUUCGGAUAUUUAGCAGUUAUUCCGUAUUCCCUUAUUUGUGAAUCGCAGCGUUGAGAUACCUAUUAUUACUGCCAUUUGGUCAGUUGUUACUCUGCCGUCGUCUUUGACAAAACAUACCUUUUAAAUGGAAGGUCGCGAAGACAAGCAUGAAAAACACAACUGCACACUCCAUUCUGUAGGAAUGACACUGAUAACUGAUACACUUUGUCUAGUUAUGAACCAUAUAAAUUUUGGUUUCCAAUCCUGCAAAUGAGUGGGCGGAUUACAUUACACGAGCGAGGCAUAGGGGAGAAUUAUCUAGAAAUUAACGCAGACGCGAGGUGAGCUGAGGCUGUAUCGCCGCUUAAUGUAACAACCGCCGCUUAAUGUAAGCAUUUGUGGUAAUGUAAGAAUCGAAGGACUUUUUUCUUAAACAGCCUCUGUAAGCCGCCAUUUUGUCAUCCUAGCAAAGUACAAUAAAAAAGCAUCCAUUUCCAUCGGCUGAUUUGGGGAAGCUAAAUUGAAAUUGGCAAAUAAAGUCUUCAAUUCAAGUUUUAGCACAUUAUAUCCGAGAUCAAAUAACAAUAAGGGUGGCUGACAAGUGCUGUUUAAGGAACAGAAUAGAUGACGUAAUAGGGCUACAAGGUAUGUGUCCGAGUGUACCUAAGAGGGGACGGGGUGGGUAAAGGCUGGCACACAUCUCAGUUCUUUGUGCUGAUGCAAGGUGAGUUCGACGCUCUGCUGCCAUGGACAUUUGUAUUCUACUGACUGCUUUUGAUUUUCUCUGUUUUUUAUCACCCUCCCCCCAUUCAUUGUAAGCAAUUGAAAGCAGUGCAUGGAUAUUUGGUAUUUUUCAAUAUAAGAACUUUCAUUUUUCAGGCUAAAUGUGUUCUUAUAUAAAUGGUAUUUUAUUUCCUAAAACCAGGCCUGGGUGCUCUUAAUCCACUUGUUUUGUACGCGGGUUUUUACUGUAUCCGGUUUGUUUAAUUUUUAAUUGUUUUUCAAUCAAGGUGCUAUGUAUGCUAUUAAAAAAUCUACAUCGUUCUA